Molecule: ribosomal RNA, 253 nt
Filed under: uncultured bacterium
Lineage: Bacteria
Description: partial 16S ribosomal RNA
Rfam family: Bacterial small subunit ribosomal RNA
Source: RNAcentral
UACGGAGGGGGCUAGCGUUGUUCGGAAUUACUGGGCGUAAAGCGCACGUAGGCGGCUUUGUAAGUUAGAGGUGAAAGCCCAGGGCUUAACUCUGGAAUUGCCUUUAAGACUGCAUCGCUAGAAUUGUGGAGAGGUAAGUGGAAUUCCGAGUGUAGAGGUGAAAUUCGUAGAUAUUCGGAAGAACACCAGUGGCGAAGGCGACUUACUGGACACAUAUUGACGCUGAGGUGCGAAAGCGUGGGGAGCAAACAGG